Molecule: ribosomal RNA, 465 nt
Filed under: uncultured Anaerolineaceae bacterium
Lineage: Bacteria; Bacillati; Chloroflexota; Anaerolineae; Anaerolineales; Anaerolineaceae
Description: bacterial SSU rRNA
Rfam family: Bacterial small subunit ribosomal RNA
Source: RNAcentral
CUUAAAUGAAUUGACGGGACCCGCACAAGCAGCGGAGCGUGUGGUUUAAUUCGUUGCUACACGAAGAACCUUACCUGGGUUUGACAUAUAGGUUGUAGGGAACUGAAAAGGGACCGACCUUCGGGAGCCUAUACAGGUGUUGCAUGGCUGUCGUCAGCUCGUGUCGUGAGAUGUUCGGUUAAGUCCGCUAACGAGCGCAACCCUCGUCGUAUGUUAUAUGUGUCAUACGAGACUGCCGGUAAAAGCCGGAGGAAGGUGAGGAUGAUGUCAAGUCAGCAUGACCUUUAUAUCCAGGGCUACACACACGCUACAAUGGUCUGUACAAUGGGUAGCCAAGCCGCGAGGCGGAGCCAAUCCUGAAAGCAGGCCUCAGUUCAGAUUGCAGUCUGCAACUCGACUGCAUGAAGCCGGAGUUGCUAGUAACCGCAGGUCAGCAAUACUGCGGUGAAUACGUUCCCGGGGCUU